Molecule: ribosomal RNA, 571 nt
Filed under: uncultured fungus
Lineage: Eukaryota; Fungi
Description: eukaryotic LSU rRNA
Rfam family: 5.8S ribosomal RNA (bases 207-360)
Source: RNAcentral
AGUAAAAGUCGUAACAAGGUCUCCGUAGGUGAACCUGCGGAGGGAUCAUUACAAGUGACCCCGGUUUUACCACCGGGAUGUUCAUAACCCUUUGUUGUCUGACUCUGUUGCCUCCGGGGCGACCCUGCCUUCAGGCGGGGGCUCCGGGUGGACACUUCAAACUCUUGCGUAACUUUGCAGUCUGAGUAAAUUAAUUAAUAAAUUAAAACUUUUAACAACGGAUCUCUUGGUUCUGGCAUCGAUGAAGAACGCAGCGAAAUGCGAUAAGUAAUGUGAAUUGCAGAAUUCAGUGAAUCAUCGAAUCUUUGAACGCACAUUGCGCCCCCUGGUAUUCCGGGGGGCAUGCCUGUUCGAGCGUCAUUUCACCACUCAAGCCUCGCUUGGUAUUGGGCAACGCGGUCCGCCGCGUGCCUCAAAUCGACCGGCUGGGUCUUCUGUCCCCUAAGCGUUGUGGAAACUAUUCGCUAAAGGGUGUUCGGGAGGCUACGCCGUAAAACAACCCCAUUUCUAAGGUUGACCUCGGAUCAGGUAGGGAUACCCGCUGAACUUAAGCAUAUCAAUAAGCGGAGGA